Molecule: ribosomal RNA, 344 nt
Filed under: uncultured bacterium
Lineage: Bacteria
Description: bacterial SSU rRNA
Rfam family: Bacterial small subunit ribosomal RNA
Source: RNAcentral
AGAGUUUGAUCAUGGCUCAGGAUGAACGCUAGCUACAGGCUUAACACAUGCAAGUCGAGGGGCAGCAUGUUGGUUGCUUGCAACCAAUGAUGGCGACCGGCGCACGGGUGAGUAACGCGUAUCCAACCUACCCUUGUCCAUCGGAUAACCCGUCGAAAGGCGGCCUAACACGAUAUGCGGUUCACAGCAGGCAUCUAAGGUGAACGAAAUGUGAAGGAGAAGGAUGGGGAUGCGUCUGAUUAGCUUGUUGGCGGGUAACGGCCACCAAGGCUACGAUCAGUAGGGUUCUGAGAGGAAGGUCCCCCANAUUGGAACUGAGACACGGUCCAACUCCUACGGGAGCA